RNAcentral lists this ribosomal RNA (497 nucleotides) under uncultured bacterium. Its description in RNAcentral is "partial 16S ribosomal RNA". It matches the Rfam family "Bacterial small subunit ribosomal RNA", at positions 28 to 507 of the family's 1533-position model. The record is from RNAcentral.
GAUGAACGCUGGCGGCGUGCCUAAUACAUGCAAGUCGAGCGAACAGAUGAGGAGCUUGCUCCUCUGACGUUAGCGGCGGACGGGUGAGUAACACGUGGAUAACCUACCUAUAAGACUGGGAUAACUUCGGGAAACCGGAGCUAAUACCGGAUAAUAUAUUGAACCGCAUGGUUCAAUAGUUAAAUACGGUUUUGCUGUCACUUAUAGAUGGAUCCGCGCCGCAUUAGCUAGUUGGUAAGGUAACGGCUUACCAAGGCAACGAUGCGUAGCCGACCUGAGAGGGUGAUCGGCCACACUGGAACUGAGACACGGUCCAGACUCCUACGGGAGGCAGCAGUAGGGAAUCUUCCGCAAUGGGCGAAAGCCUGACGGAGCAACGCCGAGUGAGUGAUGAAGGUCUUCGGAUCGUAAAACUCUGUUAUUAGGGAAGAACAAAUGUGUAAGUAACUAUGCACGUCUUGACGGUACCUAAUCAGAAAGCCACGGCUAACUACGUG